CAUCACCUCUAGCAUACCAAGUAUUAGAGGCACUGCCUGCCCAGUGACUAACGUUAAACGGCCGCGGUAUCCUGACCGUGCAAAGGUAGCAUAAUCAUUUGUUCCUUAAUUAGGGACUGGAAUGAAUGGCUUGACGAGGGUUUAACUGUCUCUUAUUUCCAAUCAGUGAAAUUGACCUCCCCGUGAAGAGGCGGGGAUUAUAUAAUAAGACGAGAAGACCCUAUGGAGCUUUAAUAUACUAGUUUAAUCCUAACAACAACAACCCUAUUGGCCUAACACAUAAAAAUAUAAACUAGUUAUUUUGGUUGGGGUGACCUCGGAGCAUAAAAAAACCUCCGAAUGAUUUUAACCAAGACGUACAAGUCUAAGUAAUUUCAUAUCUUAUUGACCCAAAACUUUUUUGAUCAACGGACCAAGUUACCCUAGGGAUAACAGCGCAAUCCUAUUCAAGAGUCCAUAUCGACAAUUAGGGUUUACGACCUCGAUGUUGGAUCAGGACAUCCCAAUGGUGCAGAAGCUAUUAAUGGUUCGUUUGUUCAACGAUUAAAGUCCUACGUGAUCA
RNAcentral lists this ribosomal RNA (562 nucleotides) under Neotoma fuscipes (dusky-footed woodrat). Its description in RNAcentral is "partial 16S ribosomal RNA". It matches the Rfam family "Bacterial large subunit ribosomal RNA", at positions 1814 to 2606 of the family's 2925-position model. The record is from RNAcentral. Lineage: Eukaryota; Metazoa; Chordata; Mammalia; Rodentia; Cricetidae.